UUUUCUUUAGUAUAAUAAGUAUAUUUAACUUCCAAUUAAAAGGUUUUAUGUAAAGAAAAA
Molecule: transfer RNA, 60 nt
Filed under: Matsumuramata muiri
Lineage: Eukaryota; Metazoa; Arthropoda; Insecta; Hemiptera; Delphacidae
Description: tRNA-Gly
Source: RNAcentral